Molecule: ribosomal RNA, 506 nt
Filed under: uncultured bacterium
Lineage: Bacteria
Description: partial 16S ribosomal RNA
Rfam family: Bacterial small subunit ribosomal RNA
Source: RNAcentral
AUUGAACGCUGGCGGCAGGCCUAACACAUGCAAGUCGAACGGUAGCACAGGAGAGCUUGCUCUCUGGGUGACGAGUGGCGGACGGGUGAGUAAUGCAUGGGGAGCUGCCCAAUCGAGGGGGAUACCAGCUGGAAACGGCUGCUAAUACCGCAUACGCCCUGAGGGGGAAAGGUGGGGACCUUCGGGCCUACCGCGAUUGGAUGCACCCAUGUGGGAUUAGCUAGUUGGUGAGGUAACGGCUCACCAAGGCGACGAUCGCUAGAUGGUCUGAGAGGAUGACCAGCCACACUGGAACUGAGACACGGUCCAGACUCCUACGGGAGGCAGCAGUGGGUAAUAUUGCACAAUGGGGGAAACCCUGAUGCAGCCAUGCCGCGUGUGUGAAGAAGGCCUUCGGGUUGUAAAGCACUUUCAGUAGGGAGGAAGGGUUGAUGUCUAAUACGCAUCAACAUUGACGUUACCUACAGAAGAAGCACCGGCUAACUCCGUGCCAGCCGCCGCCGUAA